Silurus meridionalis is the source of this 997-nucleotide long non-coding RNA. RefSeq lists it as uncharacterized. NCBI's taxonomy places the organism in Eukaryota, Metazoa, Chordata, Actinopteri, Siluriformes, Siluridae. The transcript has 3 exons. The record is from RefSeq and is a predicted model, not a curated record.
GAAUCUGUCAAUGCGUAUCCAGCGCCAUGACGACCCCCACGGUCACUCACACGCUGUUUAGACGUCUCAUGUCAUAACACAGUUUGCUCACACUGCUGUUGAGCGCUUUUUUUUUUUUUUUAACUUCACUUUUGCAAUUUUUUUUUACAAACGAUAUUUGAAAAGUAGGACAAAAGCCUUUUUUGGACCUGCAGCCAAAGAACACAAACACUCUGCAAGCUUGGACACAUAAGGCAUCCAUGCGGUACCGUGUCCCCCAGCGAGCGCUGAGAUCACACACUCAGAGUCACUCAGGUGUUUCAGAGCGCUGCUCUCCACAUUAACACUUCACUCUGAAACACACCGACCACACAGCCAACCAUUCACACGCCUACUCGAGAGCUUCACAAGAGAGCUUCACACGGCGCGUGCUGCGUGGAAUGCAAACAGCUGGACGUGUAGUAGACGUCCGCUGCCAGAUGCUCCGCAUUCCAACUUCAGUCAGGAGCAGAAAAGCGUAAAAACGUGGGAAUGUAGGCGACAUUCCGGGAUUUAACAUCUUCACCCUGGUUGAUCUACUGAUGAGUUUGUUGAUACUGCAGGAUGAAGCCAAAGACAAAUGUCCACUCUGUGCACAUAAAAACGAACUAACUACUGAAGAACAAGAUUCAUAAACGUGUUAUUUUUUUAUCAUCCGAAUUCUUGCUUGCAUUCCAUCACCUUCAACAGCUUCAUUUAUUUUGGCCUGAAGAUCAGGUUCUGGACAGAAACAUGAGACGAGGAGCAGAACAUGGGUCAGAUGUGUAGCAGCUCCAAGCAGAAGAAGAAUCUCGAUGAACUGAUGAAAUAUUAUGAAGUUUUUAUUUUAUAUUAUUAAUUUUUAAGAUGUUAUUGGUAACAUAAAAGAAAUCUGGAGUUGAUUUUGGAGCGAAAGUAAUAAAUGACUGCAUCAUUAGAAAUUUUUGUAAACGUUCAGAUGUCCAGAUGUGGUAGGUUUUGGUGACGUUCAGCCUAAAGC